This 1658-nucleotide ribosomal RNA is filed under the name Salmonella enterica subsp. enterica serovar Typhimurium. Its description in RNAcentral is "partial 23S ribosomal RNA". It matches the Rfam family "Bacterial large subunit ribosomal RNA", at positions 1292 to 2925 of the family's 2925-position model. The record is from RNAcentral. Lineage: Bacteria; Pseudomonadati; Pseudomonadota; Gammaproteobacteria; Enterobacterales; Enterobacteriaceae. RNAcentral also lists the same sequence under 1 other name.
GAAUGCUGACAUAAGUAACGAUAAAGCGGGUGAAAAGCCCGCUCGCCGGAAGACCAAGGGUUCCUGUCCAACGUUAAUCGGGGCAGGGUGAGUCGACCCCUAAGGCGAGGCCGAAAGGCGUAGUCGAUGGGAAACGGGUUAAUAUUCCCGUACUUGGUGUUACUGCGAAGGGGGGACGGAGAAGGCUAUGUUGGCCGGGCGACGGUUGUCCCGGUUUAAGCGUGUAGGUGUGUGUUCCAGGUAAAUCCGGUUCACUUUAACACUGAGGCGUGACGACGAGGCACUACGGUGCUGAAGCAACAAAUGCCCUGCUUCCAGGAAAAGCCUCUAAGCAUCAGGUAACACGAAAUCGUACCCCAAACCGACACAGGUGGUCAGGUAGAGAAUACCAAGGCGCUUGAGAGAACUCGGGUGAAGGAACUAGGCAAAAUGGUGCCGUAACUUCGGGAGAAGGCACGCUGACACGUAGGUGAAGUGAUUUACUCAUGGAGCUGAAGUCAGUCGAAGAUACCAGCUGGCUGCAACUGUUUAUUAAAAACACAGCACUGUGCAAACACGAAAGUGGACGUAUACGGUGUGACGCCUGCCCGGUGCCGGAAGGUUAAUUGAUGGGGUCAGCGUAAGCGAAGCUCCUGAUCGAAGCCCCGGUAAACGGCGGCCGUAACUAUAACGGUCCUAAGGUAGCGAAAUUCCUUGUCGGGUAAGUUCCGACCUGCACGAAUGGCGUAAUGAUGGCCAGGCUGUCUCCACCCGAGACUCAGUGAAAUUGAACUCGCUGUGAAGAUGCAGUGUACCCGCGGCAAGACGGAAAGACCCCGUGAACCUUUACUAUAGCUUGACACUGAACAUUGAGCCUUGAUGUGUAGGAUAGGUGGGAGGCUUUGAAGUGUGGACGCCAGUCUGCAUGGAGCCGACCUUGAAAUACCACCCUUUAAUGUUUGAUGUUCUAACGUGGACCCGUAAUCCGGGUUGCGGACAGUGUCUGGUGGGUAGUUUGACUGGGGCGGUCUCCUCCUAAAGAGUAACGGAGGAGCACGAAGGUUGGCUAAUCCUGGUCGGACAUCAGGAGGUUAGUGCAAUGGCAUAAGCCAGCUUGACUGCGAGCGUGACGGCGCGAGCAGGUGCGAAAGCAGGUCAUAGUGAUCCGGUGGUUCUGAAUGGAAGGGCCAUCGCUCAACGGAUAAAAGGUACUCCGGGGAUAACAGGCUGAUACCGCCCAAGAGUUCAUAUCGACGGCGGUGUUUGGCACCUCGAUGUCGGCUCAUCACAUCCUGGGGCUGAAGUAGGUCCCAAGGGUAUGGCUGUUCGCCAUUUAAAGUGGUACGCGAGCUGGGUUUAGAACGUCGUGAGACAGUUCGGUCCCUAUCUGCCGUGGGCGCUGGAGAACUGAGGGGGGCUGCUCCUAGUACGAGAGGACCGGAGUGGACGCAUCACUGGUGUUCGGGUUGUCAUGCCAAUGGCACUGCCCGGUAGCUAAAUGCGGAAGAGAUAAGUGCUGAAAGCAUCUAAGCACGAAACUUGCCCCGAGAUGAGUUCUCCCUGAGACUUAGAGUCUCCUGAAGGAACGUUGAAGACGACGACGUUGAUAGGCCGGGUGUGUAAGCGCAGCGAUGCGUUGAGCUAACCGGUACUAAUGAACCGUGAGGCUUAACCUUACA